This 498-nucleotide ribosomal RNA is filed under the name uncultured bacterium. RNAcentral describes it as "partial 16S ribosomal RNA". It matches the Rfam family "Bacterial small subunit ribosomal RNA", at positions 30 to 523 of the family's 1533-position model. The record is from RNAcentral.
AUUGAACGCUGGCGGCAUGCCUUACACAUGCAAGUCGAACGGCAGCACGGGGCAACCUGGUGGCGAGUGGCGAACGGGUGAGUAAUGCAUCGGAACGUACCUUUCAGUGGGGGAUAACGUAGCGAAAGUUACGCUAAUACCGCAUAUUCUGUGAGCAGGAAAGCAGGGGAUCGCAAGACCUUGCGCUGAUUGAGCGGCCGAUGUCAGAUUAGCUAGUUGGUGAGGUAAAGGCGCACCAAGGCGAGGAUCUGUAGCGGGUCUGAGAGGAUGACCCGCCACACUGGAACUGAGACACGGUCCAGACUCCUACGGGAGGCAGCAGUGGGGAAUUUUUGACAAUGGGGGCAACCCUGAUCCAGCCAUGCCGCGUGAGUGAAGAAGGCCUUCGGGUUGUAAAGCUCUUUCGGCCGGGAAGAAAUCGCACGGGCUAAUACCCUGUGUGGAUGACGGUACCGGAAUAAGAAGCACCGGCUAACUACGUGCCAGCAGCCGCCGUAA